UGAACGGCCACGACGUCUAUACGUCGAUC
RNAcentral lists this small RNA (29 nucleotides) under Bombyx mori (domestic silkworm). RNAcentral's name for it is "ovarian small RNA-30779". Lineage: Eukaryota; Metazoa; Arthropoda; Insecta; Lepidoptera; Bombycidae. The record is from RNAcentral.